UCAGACGGCUGGACGGCCGCUCUCAAGGUUCGCUUUGAGGGAGGAAAGUCCGGGCUCCACGGAAGUACGGUGCCGGAUAACGUCCGGCGGGGGCGACCCUAGGGAAAGUUCCACAGAAAGCAAACCGCCAGCCUAGAGCCGCAAGGUUUCGGCUGGUAAGGGUGAAAGGGUGCGGUAAGAGCGCACCGCGCGACCGGCAACGGA
RNAcentral lists this RNase P RNA (204 nucleotides) under Rhodospirillales bacterium. Its description in RNAcentral is "partial RNase P RNA component class A". It matches the Rfam family "Bacterial RNase P class A", at positions 1 to 196 of the family's 367-position model. Rfam says of the family: Ribonuclease P (RNase P) is a ubiquitous endoribonuclease, found in archaea, bacteria and eukarya as well as chloroplasts and mitochondria. Its best characterised activity is the generation of mature 5'-ends of tRNAs by cleaving the 5'-leader elements of precursor-tRNAs. The record is from RNAcentral. Lineage: Bacteria; Pseudomonadati; Pseudomonadota; Alphaproteobacteria; Rhodospirillales.